Molecule: transfer RNA, 83 nt
Filed under: Anaerolineae bacterium
Lineage: Bacteria; Bacillati; Chloroflexota; Anaerolineae
Description: tRNA-Leu
Rfam family: tRNA
About the family: Transfer RNA (tRNA) molecules are approximately 80 nucleotides in length.
Source: RNAcentral
GGGGCGGUGGCGAAACGGCAUACGCUGCAGACUUAAAAUCUGCUGGCCGCAAGGCCAUGUGGGUUCGAGUCCCACCCGCCCUA